CUUAGGAUGACAGGAUUUCAAAUGAGAAGGGGACUUUUAGAUAUCACAUGUUACCUGUGGAGAAACUGAGGCUCAGAGAACCUACAUGGCAUGUCCAACACCAUAUAAGUAUGAAGGAGCAGAUUGAGAGACACUUACAUCCUAGAGCAUGGGAGUCGAGUUUUCAGUCAUAUUUGAAUGCCCAAAGUCACUGUCAUCAUCCUUGGAUUAAGGGAAGACCUCCAAAAGAGGAGUGAGAGUAUUCCAGACCAACAUUUACCUCCUCCCCGACUCUGCCUGGUCCAACAUCUCCAAGUCUUUCCCCCUCACCCACUCCAUGAGCUACAAGGUGAGAGGAACCAUUCCCUUGGUAACAUUCUGUUCUCCUGGGCAACAGCAUGUCUAAUCCUAGGCUCUCUGCACCCAGCCUCAUAUCCCCAGAAGAAGUUGGAGGAAGAGGGUCCCCAGUCCAAAAGCGCAGGAGAAGGAAUGAACUUACAGGAGAAUGUCACCGUGGCCAUGGCAGUGGUCACCAUCUUAGCCUCCAUUUACUUCUUCCAUAAGGUGAGAGGAGUCUGGGGAGCCAAGGACCCUGUUCUAAGAUAAUACUGAAUUUUGUAAUUAAGUAUCUUGGGAAUGCAUUGAUAACCCAGUGGUUCUCUUAUUCUCUUCAUUUCUUCCUCUAUGUCUGAGUCUCUGUAUUUCCCUCUGACUCUGGGCCUCUGGCCUCUCUCAGACUGGAGCACUCAAUGACAUUGGAUUAUGUCCCUUCAUCCUCCAGCCUCCAGCUGUAAAAUGAGGAAUUUGGAGUUGAUGACCUCUAAGGUCCUCUCCAUCUGGAAUUCCAUGAUUCUGUGACCCAACAAAUGGGAGGGAGACUCUUUAAAUCCAAGCCCCUUAUUUUACAGAUGAGAAAACUGAGACUCACAGAGAAGGACCUUACCCAACCCAUCACUAAGAUCAUGUUACUCCUCUAUUCAAAAUCCUCUUAAUGGCUUUCUGUUAACAAAUGAAUAAAGUUGAAGAUUUUAAUCCUGGCA
RNAcentral lists this long non-coding RNA (1019 nucleotides) under Monodelphis domestica (gray short-tailed opossum). RNAcentral describes it as "lncRNA (ENSMODG00000034404.2)". The record is from RNAcentral. Lineage: Eukaryota; Metazoa; Chordata; Mammalia; Didelphimorphia; Didelphidae.